UACAGAGGUCUCAAGCGUUGUUCGGAUUCAUUGGGCGUAAAGGGUGCGUAGGUGGCGUCGUAAGUCAGGUGUGAAAUCUCGGAGCUUAACUCCGAAACUGCAUUUGAUACUGCGGUGCUUGAGGACUGGAGAGGAGACUGGAAUUUACGGUGUAGCAGUGAAAUGCGUAGAGAUCGUAAGGAAGACCAGUGGCGAAGGCGGGUCUCUGGACAGUUCCUGACACUGAGGCACGAAGGUCAGGGGAGCAAACGGG
This 253-nucleotide ribosomal RNA is filed under the name uncultured bacterium. RNAcentral describes it as "partial 16S ribosomal RNA". It matches the Rfam family "Bacterial small subunit ribosomal RNA", at positions 524 to 776 of the family's 1533-position model. The record is from RNAcentral.